UCCAUGGGAUCCGCCGUUUUUCAAAGGGGACCCAAAAAAAAUGUCACUUCUUCUUCAUGAACAACAUAGAACACCUAAGACCUAGAGCUUGAAGCAAAAUCGGCAGCAUCUCCUUAACAAGGGAGAGCUCACCUUUAAUUCCCUAAGAAGCUUCAGCCAUUACCCAUAUAUCCCCAUCUCUUAAUAGCACUACUUAUCCCCUUCUUCUUCCUCAUCGAUUCAUUAACCAUCAUCCAUUCAAUGGCCAACUAAAAACUAUCCUAAAAUCAACAAAAUACCAUGAAAAAACACUACCAAAGGCUCCUCCAAAACAGUCACAAAAAUCUGCCGUGAAACAGCCCAAAAUCAGACAUCAAAAUAAUCCAAAACUCAGUGAAAUUCGGUCAGAAAUGGGAGUUCAAACACAACAUAAAUCCAGCAAAAACGCACCAAAAUCUGCCUCUACAGGAAACCCGAAGCAGCUCCAAAAACACUCCAAAAAGGGUGGAUGUUAAGUGAGGUAUCCGUUCAAAUUUCGACGAGGUUUUUCCGGCGAGUUUUCUAUCUCAGUCUAAGGUUAGUUUCCAUUCUUGUUCAUUUUCUAAUAUUGAUUGUCGAUGUGCUUACAUUCUUUCCCUUAAUAUACUGAGGAGUUUUUUUUUAUUUUUUAUUUUAUUAAGAGUCCAAGUCUCUUUACUCUUUUCUUGAGUUCUUAUUAGUCAUCUUCAAUCUUUUGUUUGUUAUUGUACGGUUUAAAUUCCGCGGCUAAUUCUAUUGUUUGCACAACCAUAUCCAGAUUAAUGUUUGGUUAGUUAUGAGUAUAAGUGUAGUAAUCCUAAGCCUUUUUGUCAAUUGGGUGUAAUGAUUCAUAGUAUUUCGUUAUUAAAAUGCCCUGUCCAUGUACACCUUUAUGUGUCUGCUUUAAUUGGUGUUUGAGGUCCAUUAGCAUGUUUGUUUGGCUCGAAUUUUAGAUUGCCUCACUGUCAUGAAAGUUAGUUCCUUGAACCAUUUGAUUAGUGGAAAUUGAGAAAAGUUUGUGAUAGUUAAGUUAGAACGAUAAUAAUAGCACACAAUGUAUGUGCCAUGAGAUUUACUUCGGUUAGAAUAGAAUUUAAUUUUAUUUGUGCAAUAAAAGGGACAUAAGACCCAAAAAAAAUGAUAAAUUUGUAAGCUAGCUCAUUACUUUGCCGGUCAAAUAAAUUUAUAGACUUGCCUAGUUUCUUAACAAUAAAUUGCCGAUUAGUUUUUUCUUUCUAGGAGUGUAAUUAGCCCAUUUCUUAUAACUAAUAGGUAUUAAUAUAACUUCAAGAUAUAGAGUGAUAAUUAUUUGGUAGUUAUAAAUAGUUUUCACAAGUUAGUAAUACAAUUGGCUUUGUAAAUAAUCUUUAAUGUAGGAAUUUUACACUCUUUUCACAAUUCUCACCCUAUAAAGUCAUGGUCUUACAAUAAUCUCAAAAUUUAAGAAGAAUAAUGAAUACCGUUAGAGUGCUUUAGGCGUGUUUUGAAUUUAUCAUCGUGAUUAUGUACACGUUCGCAUGACAUAAUCACGAUUCCUAAAAUUAAAACCAAGGUAUGCGUUCGCGCAACUUUGGAUGCAACAAUCUUAAUUAAUAAAGCGUGAUUAAUUGUGGACACGUACACAUGGCAUGAUUUUUGACGCGCCAAACAAAAUGAGUACACGUAUGCGUGACUCAAUUCUUUAAUUACGAAUAACUCAAGUGUGUAAAAGCGGCUAAAAAGAUAAAUGCACAUAGGUUUUAAAAUCAGUAAUUGAGCAAUUCUAAUAAGCCAAGUAUAAAUUGCUAAGCGACCGUGCUAGAACCACGGAACUCGGGAGUGCCUAACACCUUCUCCCGGGUUAACAGAAUUUUUUUCCCGGAUUUCUGUGUUCGCGGACCAUAAAUAAGAGUCAACUUCCUCGAUUCGGGAUUUUAAACUGGUGACUUGGGACACCAUAAAUUAUCCCAAUUGGCGACUCUGAAUUUAAUAUAAAUAAUCUUGUUUCGAUUGUCACUUAAAUUGGAAAAACUCCCUUAUACCCUUCGCGGGGUGUAGUAAAAAGGAGGUGUGACAUGUGGUCCAUUAUGCUAUAGCGGAUUUGUUUCGAUGACCAAGAAAUAACCAUAUAAUGAACCAGAAGCAACUCAAAUUUUAAAAGUAUUUUCGCUGGCCACAUAAUGAUUCAACUGGCCGCAUAAUGAUUAUGUUAUUGGGAAAUUGCAUCGCGAAAUGGACCAGACCCAACCCAGAAUUUGAAAAUCAUUUUGCGGCCAUUCUGCUGGCCGCAUAAUCAUUUUGCUAUCGCAAAUUUGCAUCACAGUUACCAUUUUGUGUCCAUUAUGAUGCCCACAUAUCUGUUCUGCUACCACAUAAUUGCACCACAUAAUUGAGUUUGGGGGUUAUUUUUGGAAUUUUUUUUAUCCGACCCUAUUUUUAUAUAAGGCCUUAGGGGGUCAUUUUAUAAGAUAUAACUUGAUAUUUUAGAGUGAGGGUAUCAAUUUAGAGAGAGAGAGAGAGGAAGGAACUCUAUAAAAUUAUACUCUUCAAUUCUUGCACAAAUCUUAGGAAUUCAAGAGGGAAACUUACAAGACAUUCUACUUACAAGGUAAGACUUCAUUCCUAGCUUUAAUACAAUGUUUAAUAAUGGAUUUAGGUAGUAUAUUAUCAUGGUGGGGAUUGUGUGACGGUGACCGAAAGCCAUAAGCCCUCAAUCUAGAAUUUAGGAGUAUGUGAAGGCUGGGAAAUGUGGUUUUGGUGGUUUGAAGCAAAUGAUUGAGCAUGUAUAUGACUAACAAUGGUUGAUGGGUGUUGUAGGGAUAUAUUAUAUUGGUUGGCUGAUUGAAAAUUCAUGGUGAGGGUAGAGGAAAUUCUAAUAUAGGACCUUGUAAUUGACUUUUCAUAUUAGGUGUUUGAUGAAAUGUCAGAAUGGGUUAAAUCUAAGAAUACCUUCCUAACUAUGGUUAAAUUUGGUUAUGUUUCUGCAGAUUGUGUGGGACGUUGUAGUAAUCUAAGAAAAACUCAAGCAUGGUAUGUUGUCUAAACUUCUCUCUUAGAAUCAUCGAAUUCUGUGAUGUUAUCAUAAGUUUCAAUUAUGGUCGGCCCAAGUUCCUAAUCCCAUGUUCCGAGUUGUUCCUAAUAAAUUCAAGUAUCCCAAGUAAGUAUUGAGUUGAAAGAUGCGUAUGAUCAAAAAGUGUUCCAAUUGUUCCUACCCUAUUAUGACCUCUACGAUAAUAUGUUCAUAUAUAUAUCAAAUCCCUAUGUCCAAAUGCUUUUAUUAUUUAUAAACUAUGAUAAUGUUUGGAAGUGAAAGAAGUGAGAGUGAGAUGUAAGACGCAGACAUGGUUGUUGUAACUAGUGCAUUUGAUUUGAAUUCAUAUUUUAGUCAUAAAUCACCAUGCUCUCCUUUAUGAAUAUUUCCAAUAUGAUUUGAGUUAUCACAUAUUCAUGAGUUGAAAUUGUGUGUUGCCCUUUUGGGAAAGAGUAUUUCGAGGUUAAGUGGUGUAUCACUCGUUUAUGAUUUUAACUCGUACUUCAAAUGCUAGUCAUUU
This 3527-nucleotide long non-coding RNA is filed under the name Nicotiana tabacum (common tobacco). RNAcentral describes it as "long non-coding RNA (NTAB_LNC006007)". The record is from RNAcentral. Lineage: Eukaryota; Viridiplantae; Streptophyta; Magnoliopsida; Solanales; Solanaceae.